Molecule: ribosomal RNA, 558 nt
Filed under: Saccharomyces cerevisiae (brewer's yeast)
Lineage: Eukaryota; Fungi; Ascomycota; Saccharomycetes; Saccharomycetales; Saccharomycetaceae
Description: partial large subunit ribosomal RNA
Rfam family: Eukaryotic large subunit ribosomal RNA
Source: RNAcentral
CGGCGAGUGAGCGGCAAAAGCUCAAAUUUGAAAUCUGGUACCUUCGGUGCCCGAGUUGUAAUUUGGAGAGGGCAACUUUGGGGCCGUUCCUUGUCUAUGUUCCUUGGAACAGGACGUCAUAGAGGGUGAGAAUCCCGUGUGGCGAGGAGUGCGGUUCUUUGUAAAGUGCCUUCGAAGAGUCGAGUUGUUUGGGAAUGCAGCUCUAAGUGGGUGGUAAAUUCCAUCUAAAGCUAAAUAUUGGCGAGAGACCGAUAGCGAACAAGUACAGUGAUGGAAAGAUGAAAAGAACUUUGAAAAGAGAGUGAAAAAGUACGUGAAAUUGUUGAAAGGGAAGGGCAUUUGAUCAGACAUGGUGUUUUGUGCCCUCUGCUCCUUGUGGGUAGGGGAAUCUCGCAUUUCACUGGGCCAGCAUCAGUUUUGGUGGCAGGAUAAAUCCAUAGGAAUGUAGCUUGCCUCGGUAAGUAUUAUAGCCUGUGGGAAUACUGCCAGCUGGGACUGAGGACUGCGACGUAAGUCAAGGAUGCUGGCAUAAUGGUUAUAUGCCGCCCGUCUUGAACC